UACGAAGGUCCCAAGCGUUGUUCGGAAUCACUGGGCGUAAAGGGAGCGUAGGCGGCCAACUAAGUCGGAUGUGAAAUCCCCAGGCUUAACCUGGGAACUGCAUCCGAUACUGGAUGGCUUGAAUCCGGGAGAGGGAUGCAGAAUUCCAGGUGUAGCGGUGAAAUGCGUAGAUAUCUGGAGGAAUACCGGUGGCGAAGGCGGCAUCCUGGACCGGCAUUGACGCUGAGUGAGCGAAAGCCAGGGGAGCAAACGGG
This 254-nucleotide ribosomal RNA is filed under the name uncultured bacterium. RNAcentral's name for it is "partial 16S ribosomal RNA". It matches the Rfam family "Bacterial small subunit ribosomal RNA", at positions 524 to 776 of the family's 1533-position model. The record is from RNAcentral.